This 470-nucleotide long non-coding RNA is filed under the name Gallus gallus (chicken). The record is from RNAcentral. Lineage: Eukaryota; Metazoa; Chordata; Aves; Galliformes; Phasianidae.
UAUGAAUAACAAACAUAAUUUAGAUUAAUGUGUCAGCACUAUAUGCACCAACAGGUACAGAUCUGAAUGAAUAUGGAUUCUUUUGCUUUUACUCAUCAUGAAUGAUCUCCACCCAUUCAUGACUUUUUACAUGACUGACACCUGCUACCUCAUGAGAACAAAACAUCUCCAAAAUCCAUUCGUAUAAAGUGCUAGGCUGCAAGUGUGUUUUUGUAAGUGUGAUUUUGCUCUCUUGGAUAUGGCUUUUUUUGUCUUCUGUGCCUGGUUAUUUGUGCAGUUUCUCUGCAACACUCAAGAAUGAUAGCCCCAGUAAUUACAUUAUUUUUUCCACUUCUGUGGACUAGGCCCCUAAAACCUGAAGUUGUCACUGUUCCAUUCUUUUUUUUCCACCAGAAAUUCUUAAAUAAACCAUGCCACUUUAAAAAUUAAGAUCAAGACAUACUUUCUCUACAAUCUUCAUAUAUAUUUCU